Molecule: long non-coding RNA, 1088 nt
Filed under: Hordeum vulgare
Lineage: Eukaryota; Viridiplantae; Streptophyta; Magnoliopsida; Poales; Poaceae
Description: long non-coding RNA (HVUL_LNC012389)
Source: RNAcentral
AUCUGGGUUGGUCGGAGACCUUAUUACGCACUAACGUGGGAGAAGUUAUGGGCACUCGGCAUCGUGGUAUCAACCGUACCUCUUCAGACGUCACCAAUUGAGUGGCGCUCGCCUGAGUGGUCCGGAUAUGCAUCGCUCUUGUAAUAAGGGGUGCUAGGACUGACCUCGGCCGCCCACGCAUCAUGCAGGAGUGCAAAGGGUGAUGGGUCCAUGACCCCUGCGUGCUUAGGGUUUAGACCGGCGGGCUGGCCUCUCUGUUGAGUCUAGGUGGGGCUGCGACGUGUCAAUAUUCCAAGGCCGGGCGUGACCCAGAAAAGUGUGCCCGGCCAGAGUUUUGUCGAGCGUGACGGGGAAUAUGUUGUGCACCCCUGCAGGGAAGAACUUAUCUAUUCGAAUAGUCGUGUCCACAGUUACAGGACGACUUGGAGUUGUGCCUCAAUCUUAUACAACUACAACUAUUAAUUAACUGGAAUGUUGCUUUGGGAUUGCUUCCUCGCAGGUUGUUGAGGAAGAAUCUCUGGGAGGGACCUCAUUUUAUUAUUGCUGCAACAAUAUGACUAUUAAUUGUGUUACCUGUUCUACUCUCGUCUAUUGAUGCAAGACCCCUGAAGAUGCUAGUCUUCGAUAGGACUAGGCCUUCUCUCUCUAUUCUCGCAUUGCUGCAGUCAGCCCACAUAUAAACCCCUUCCUUUGAUACUGAUGUAAACUUAGCAUAGUUCUGAUGUUAGUCUUGCGAGUACUUUGGAUGAGUACUCACCGUUGCUUUGCUCCCCCUUUGUCCCCUUGACACAUUGCCGUGACCAGACGAUGGAGCCCAGGAGAUGGAGUAUCCCGUCGGUGACGAUUGCUACCCUGACGGUGCCUACUACUAUGUGGAGGCCGCUGAAGACCAGGAGUAGUUUAGGAGGUUCCCAGGCAGGAGGCCUCACCUCGUUCAAUCGUUGUAUCUUUUGUGCUAACCUUCUCUAAGGCACCUCAUGUUUAAUGUCUGUACUCAGAUAUUUGUUGCUUCCGCUGGCUCGUGUGUUUAUCGAGCUUCUGUAUUCUAGCCCACGAGGCCCCUGGCUUGUAAUAUGAAGCUUGUAUGU